This 84-nucleotide transfer RNA is filed under the name Gemmatimonadaceae bacterium. RNAcentral's name for it is "tRNA-Leu". It matches the Rfam family "tRNA". From Rfam's summary of the family: Transfer RNA (tRNA) molecules are approximately 80 nucleotides in length. Lineage: Bacteria; Pseudomonadati; Gemmatimonadota; Gemmatimonadia; Gemmatimonadales; Gemmatimonadaceae. The record is from RNAcentral. RNAcentral also lists the same sequence under 2 other names.
GCCGGGAUGGCGAAACUGGCAGACGCGCGAGACUUAAAAUCUUGUGUCCGCAAGGACAUCCGGGUUCGAGCCCCGGUCCCGGCA